UACGUAGGGUGCGAGCGUUGCCCGGAUUUAUUGGGCGUAAAGGGCGCGUAGGCGGCUCGGCACGUCCGUUGUGAAAUCGCCCGGCUCAACUGGGCGGGGUCAGCGGAUACGGUCGAGCUUGAGCAAGCUAGGGGGUAAUGGAAUUCCCGGUGUAGUGGUGGAAUGCGUAGAUAUCGGGAGGAACACCAGUGGCGAAGGCGGUUACCUGGGGCUUUGCUGACGCUGAGGAGCAAAAGCGUGGGGAGCGAACAGG
This 253-nucleotide ribosomal RNA is filed under the name uncultured bacterium. Its description in RNAcentral is "partial 16S ribosomal RNA". It matches the Rfam family "Bacterial small subunit ribosomal RNA", at positions 524 to 776 of the family's 1533-position model. The record is from RNAcentral.